This is a non-coding RNA of Acanthosepion pharaonis, 111 nucleotides long. The record is from the annotation of a GenBank genome assembly. NCBI's taxonomy places the organism in Eukaryota, Metazoa, Mollusca, Cephalopoda, Sepiida, Sepiidae.
UACGGCCACAUCACACUGAAACACCGGUUCUCGUACAAUCACUGAAGUUAAGCAACGCCGAACCUAGUCAUGACUGUGAUGGGGGACCACUUGGGAAUACCGGGAGCUGAA